This 253-nucleotide ribosomal RNA is filed under the name uncultured bacterium. Its description in RNAcentral is "partial 16S ribosomal RNA". It matches the Rfam family "Bacterial small subunit ribosomal RNA", at positions 524 to 776 of the family's 1533-position model. The record is from RNAcentral.
UACAGAGGGGGCAAGCGUUGUUCGGAAUUACUGGGCGUAAAGGGCGCGUAGGCGGCCUGUUAAGUCGAACGUGAAAUCCCCGGGCUCAACCCGGGAACUGCGUCCGAUACUGGCAGGCUUGAAUUCGGGAGAGGGAUGCGGAAUUCCAGGUGUAGCGGUGAAAUGCGUAGAUAUCUGGAGGAACACCGGUGGCGAAGGCGGCAUCCUGGACCGAAAUUGACGCUGAGGCGCGAAAGCCAGGGGAGCAAACGGG